UCAGUUGGUAGAGCGCCUGGCCUGUAAUCCGAAGGUCAGGGGUUCGAUUCCCUC
RNAcentral lists this transfer RNA (54 nucleotides) under Phaeocystis globosa. RNAcentral's name for it is "partial tRNA". The record is from RNAcentral. Lineage: Eukaryota; Haptophyta; Phaeocystales; Phaeocystaceae.